GCAUCUGCAAAAUCAGGUGUCGGGGGUCGCAGCCCGUCAAGCUAAAAGGCGCAUACCACGCCAGACGUGGUUUUUUU
Molecule: small RNA, 77 nt
Filed under: bacteria symbiont BFo2 of Frankliniella occidentalis
Lineage: Bacteria; Pseudomonadati; Pseudomonadota; Gammaproteobacteria; Enterobacterales
Description: isrK Hfq binding RNA
Rfam family: isrK Hfq binding RNA
Source: Rfam by way of RNAcentral